AUUGAACGCUGGCGGCAGGCCUAGCACAUGCAAGUCGAGCGGAUGAAGGGAGCUUGCUCCUGGAUUCAGCGGCGGACGGGUGAGUAAUGCCUAGGAAUCUGCCUGGUAGUGGGGGAUAACGUCCGGAAACGGGCGCUAAUACCGCAUACGUCCUGAGGGAGAAAGUGGGGGAUCUUCGGACCUCACGCUAUCAGAUGAGCCUAGGUCGGAUUAGCUAGUUGGUGGGGUAAAGGCCUACCAAGGCGACGAUCCGUAACUGGUCUGAGAGGAUGAUCAGUCACACUGGAACUGAGACACGGUCCAGACUCCUACGGGAGGCAGCAGUGGGGAAUAUUGGACAAUGGGCGAAAGCCUGAUCCAGCCAUGCCGCGUGUGUGAAGAAGGUCUUCGGAUUGUAAAGCACUUUAAGUUGGGAGGAAGGGCAGUAAGUUAAUACCUGGCUGUUUUGACGUUACCAACAGAAUAAGCACCGGCUAACUUCGU
RNAcentral lists this ribosomal RNA (483 nucleotides) under uncultured bacterium. RNAcentral describes it as "partial 16S ribosomal RNA". It matches the Rfam family "Bacterial small subunit ribosomal RNA", at positions 30 to 506 of the family's 1533-position model. The record is from RNAcentral.